GACGUUAGCGACAGAAGAAGCACCGGCUAACUCCGUGCCAGCAGCCGCGGUAAUACGGAGGGUGCGAGCGUUAAUCGGAAUUACUGGGCGUAAAGCGCAUGCAGGUGGUUUGUUAAGUCAGAUGUGAAAGCCCGGGGCUCAACCUCGGAAUAGCAUUUGAAACUGGCAGACUAGAGUACUGUAGAGGGGGGUAGGAAUUUCAGGUGUAGCGGUGAAAUGCGUAGAGAUCUGAAGGAAUACCGGUGGCGAAGGCGGCCCCCUCGGACAGAUACUGACACUCAGAUGCGAAAGCGUGGGGAGCAAACAGGAUUAGAUACCCUGGUAG
RNAcentral lists this ribosomal RNA (325 nucleotides) under uncultured bacterium. RNAcentral's name for it is "bacterial SSU rRNA". It matches the Rfam family "Bacterial small subunit ribosomal RNA", at positions 471 to 793 of the family's 1533-position model. The record is from RNAcentral.